Molecule: ribosomal RNA, 288 nt
Filed under: uncultured bacterium
Lineage: Bacteria
Description: partial 16S ribosomal RNA
Rfam family: Bacterial small subunit ribosomal RNA
Source: RNAcentral
GUGCCUAACACAUGCAAGUCGAGCGGUAACGCGGGAGCAAUCCUGGCGACGAGCGGCGAACGGGUGAGUAAUGCUUCGGAAUCUGCCCAGUAGUGGGGAAUAACCAAUCGAAAGGUUGGCUAAUGCCGCAUACGACCUACGGGUGAAAGCGGGGGAUCGCAAGACCUCGCGCUAUUGGAUGAGCCGAAGUCGGAUUAGCUAGUUGGUAGGGUAACGGCCUACCAAGGCGACAAUCCGUAGCUGGUCUGAGAGGACGACCAGCCACACUGGGACUGAGACACGGCCCAG